RNAcentral lists this ribosomal RNA (450 nucleotides) under uncultured bacterium. RNAcentral's name for it is "partial 16S ribosomal RNA". It matches the Rfam family "Bacterial small subunit ribosomal RNA", at positions 354 to 796 of the family's 1533-position model. The record is from RNAcentral.
GUGGGGAAUAUUGCACAAUGGGCGCAAGCCUGAUGCAGCCAUGCCGCGUGUAUGAAGAAGGCCUUCGGGUUGUAAAGUACUUUCAGCGGGGAGGAAGGUGUUGUGGUUAAUAACCGCAGCAAUUGACGUUACCCGCAGAAGAAGCACCGGCUAACUCCGUGCCAGCAGCCGCGGUAAUACGGAGGGUGCAAGCGUUAAUCGGAAUUACUGGGCGUAAAGCGCACGCAGGCGGUCUGUCAAGUCGGAUGUGAAAUCCCCGGGCUCAACCUGGGAACUGCAUUCGAAACUGGCAGGCUGGAGUCUUGUAGAGGGGGGUAGAAUUCCAGGUGUAGCGGUGAAAUGCGUAGAGAUCUGGAGGAAUACCGGUGGCGAAGGCGGCCCCCUGGACAAAGACUGACGCUCAGGUGCGAAAGCGUGGGGAGCAAACAGGAUUAGAAACCCGAGUAGUCC